This is a non-coding RNA of Glycine soja, 120 nucleotides long. The record is from Rfam. Lineage: Eukaryota; Viridiplantae; Streptophyta; Magnoliopsida; Fabales; Fabaceae.
UUAGCAAGUGACAUUGACUGUCAUGUGUCAUGUUCUAAUUGGAUUUCAAUUCCAUGAAAGAUGAAAUGUAUUAUUGUUUUCAUUGACCAAUCAGAGCAUGACACGUGUCAGUCAUAAUCC